Molecule: non-coding RNA, 77 nt
Organism: Potamilus streckersoni
Lineage: Eukaryota; Metazoa; Mollusca; Bivalvia; Unionida; Unionidae
Source: the annotation of a GenBank genome assembly
AACCACUCUGGUGGCCUAGUGGUUAUAGUGUCCUCCUCGAAUGCGGGAGGUUGUGGGUUCAAUCCCCAGUCGGGUCA